This 708-nucleotide ribosomal RNA is filed under the name uncultured bacterium. RNAcentral's name for it is "bacterial SSU rRNA". It matches the Rfam family "Bacterial small subunit ribosomal RNA", at positions 71 to 777 of the family's 1533-position model. The record is from RNAcentral.
ACGCGGGGCAACCUGGCGACGAGUGGCGAACGGGUGAGUAAUACAUCGGAACGUGCCCAGUAGUGGGGGAUAGCCCGGCGAAAGCCGGAUUAAUACCGCAUACGACCUACGGGUGAAAGCGGGGGAUCGCAAGACCUCGCGCUAUUGGAGCGGCCGAUGUCAGAUUAGCUAGUUGGUGGGGUAAAAGCCUACCAAGGCGACGAUCUGUAGCUGGUCUGAGAGGACGACCAGCCACACUGGGACUGAGACACGGCCCAGACUCCUACGGGAGGCAGCAGUGGGGAAUUUUGGACAAUGGGGGCAACCCUGAUCCAGCCAUGCCGCGUGCGGGAAGAAGGCCUUCGGGUUGUAAACCGCUUUUGUCAGGGAAGAAACGGUCUGCGCUAAUACCGCGGACUAAUGACGGUACCUGAAGAAUAAGCACCGGCUAACUACGUGCCAGCAGCCGCGGUAAUACGUAGGGUGCAAGCGUUAAUCGGAAUUACUGGGCGUAAAGCGUGCGCAGGCGGCUUUGCAAGACAGAUGUGAAAUCCCCGGGCUCAACCUGGGAACUGCAUUUGUGACUGCAUGGCUAGAGUGCGGCAGAGGGGGAUGGAAUUCCGCGUGUAGCAGUGAAAUGCGUAGAUAUGCGGAGGAACACCGAUGGCGAAGGCAAUCCCCUGGGCCUGCACUGACGCUCAUGCACGAAGGCGUGGGGAGCAAACAGGA